Molecule: long non-coding RNA, 722 nt
Organism: Mus pahari (shrew mouse)
Lineage: Eukaryota; Metazoa; Chordata; Mammalia; Rodentia; Muridae
Exons: 3
Source: RefSeq, a predicted model, not a curated record
AUCUGUUCCCUCCAUUCUCCUAGCUCCAUCGGCUGCCAACCUAAGGCCAUCGCCUGCCUCCAUCACCCCUUCGCCUGCCUGCCUACCACCCAGUCCCAAAUGGGUGCUGGAUCAGGUGCCGAAUCUGGCUGCCUCCUCGGGUCCUCCUUCCCAUCCCCUCUUAGGCAUGGAGAGAUGAAGGACAGAUGGAGUACCGCAUAAGGACACAAUGGAGGGAGCAGGCCAUGACUAAGACCCCAAGGAUGAAGAAUGGAGAGCCCUGACCGUCCUCCAGGCCCCCAGUCAAGUCCCUGCUGAAGAUGGCUAUACCCUCUAGCCUGGGAGGACCAUGACCCAACAAUGGCGGUGGGAGAGAAGAUGACUUUGUGAAGGACACUCUCCGUUAUCUGUGAUGACAUACACCAGCCCCUGAACAAUUUAACCUUAAGCUGCCCUCGGCAAGACUUCGGUAGCACUGGAUUUCUCUCAUUCCCGGGAGGCAGAGUUGUUAGCCAUCAAUCUGGAAGAUCUGAAGGAAAAUUUGGCUUUGGGUAAAGUCAAAGGGGAUGGCUCUCAGAGAUGAGGCCUGUUCAUGAGGAGUAAGCAGGGCUUUGCUGCCUGCGCCAGGCAGAGCUGCCCUGGGCUGGGGGGAGUUUUGACGUCAACAUCUCUGGAAGCAGAAAGCAGCUUCAGAAGAAGCAAGGUUUUGCCAGGAAAAAAGAAAACAGGAGGUCUUCAGUCAA